AUAGAUUUUUAAGUCCCA
This 18-nucleotide unclassified non-coding RNA is filed under the name Dictyostelium discoideum. Lineage: Eukaryota; Evosea; Eumycetozoa; Dictyosteliales; Dictyosteliaceae. The record is from RNAcentral.